CAUUCAUUGAUUUAUUUACAAUUCCAGGCCAGUGAGCAUCCUUCCUGCAGACAGCACACGUUCAAAGCUCUGUCAAUAACAAUGACCCACCUUCUCCUCCCAAAUGAUUUGGAUCCCUCCUUCCUUCAGGUAAAUAACGUUACAUCCUUAUGGAGCAAUCACUACUUCCUGUACAUGUCUGACUUGUUCAACCACAGCAUGUUGAUGAAGGGAUGGAGGGAGUGAGGAUACUGUUCUGUGUGUGUGUGUUAGGGUGGUGAGGAUACUGUUCUGUGUGUUUGUGUUAGGGUGGAGGGGUGGUGAGGAUACUGUUCUGUGUGUUUGUGUUUGGGUGGUGAGGAUACUGUUCUGUGUGUUUGUGUUAGGGUGGUGAGGAUACUGUUCUGUGUGUUUGUGUUAGGGUGGAGGGGUGGUGAGGAUACUGUUCUGUGUGUUUGUGUUAGGGUGGAGGGGUGGUGAGGAUACUGUUCUGUGUGUUUGUGUUAGGGUGGUGAGGAUACUGUUCUGUGUGUUUGUGUUAGGGUGGAGGGGUGGUGAGGAUACUGUUCUGUGUGUUUGUGUUAGGGUGGAGGGGUGGUGAGGAUACUGUUCUGUGUGUUUGGGUGGUGAGGAUACUGUUCUGUGUGUUUGUGUUAGGGUGGAGGGGUGGUGAGGAUACUGUUCUGUGUGUUUGUGUUCGGGUGGUGAGGAUACUGUUCUGUGUGUGUGUGAGGGUAGUGAGGAUACUGUUCUGUGUGUUUGUGUUAGGGUGGUGGGGUGGUGAGGAUACUGUUCUGUGUGUUUGUGUUAGGGUGGUGAGGAUACUGUUCUGUGUGUUUGUGUUCGGGUGGUGAGGAUACUGUUCUGUGUGUGUGUGAGGGUAGUGAGGAUACUGUUCUGUGUGUUUGUGUUUGGGUGGUGAGGAUACUGUUCUGUGUGUUUGUGAGGGUGGUGAGGAUACUGUUCUGUGUGUGUGUGAGGGUAGUGAGGAUACUGUUCUGUGUGUUUGUGUUAGGGUGGUGAGGAUACUGUUCUGUGUGUUUGUGUUAGGGUGGUGAGGAUACUGUUCUGUGUGUUUGUGUUAGGGUGGUGAGGAUACUGUUCUGUGUGUUUGUGUUCGGGUGGUGAGGAUACUGUUCUGUGUGUGUGUGAGGGUAGUGAGGAUACUGUUCUGUGUGUUUGUGUUAGGGUGGUGAGGAUACUGUUCUGUGUGUUUGUGUUAGGGUGGAGGGGUGGUGAGGAUACUGUUCUGUGUGUGUGUGAGGGUAGUGAGGAUACUGUUCUGUGUGUUUGUGUUAGGGUGGAGGGGUGGUGAGGAUACUGUACUGUGUGUUUGUGUUAGGGUGGAGGGGUGGUGAGGAUACUGUUCUGUGUGUUUGUGUUAGGGUGGAGGGGUGGUGAGGAUACUGUUCUGUGUGUUUGUGUUAGGGUGGAGGGGUGGUGAGGAUACUGUUCUGUGUGUUUGUGUUAGGGUGGAGGGGUGGUGAGGAUACUGUUCUGUGUGUUUGUGUGAG
This is a long non-coding RNA of Oncorhynchus keta (chum salmon), 1493 nucleotides long. RefSeq lists it as uncharacterized. The transcript has 3 exons. Lineage: Eukaryota; Metazoa; Chordata; Actinopteri; Salmoniformes; Salmonidae. The record is from RefSeq and is a predicted model, not a curated record.